Molecule: long non-coding RNA, 1156 nt
Organism: Passer domesticus (house sparrow)
Lineage: Eukaryota; Metazoa; Chordata; Aves; Passeriformes; Passeridae
Exons: 2
Source: RefSeq, a predicted model, not a curated record
AGCACCCUAGGCUGGAUUGUGAAUUCAUGCAUAGAACCAGACCUGCUCUACACCUAAUGCCAAAAAAAUCCUGCAAAGUUUUCCUCUGCUACAAAGCAACACAAAAAGCCCUCCUAGUCCAUCACCUGUUGCUCAAGGCAUGUAAGAGUAGAAACACACUUAGCCCCUAGAGCCCACACUGAGAAGCUGAGCACUGAGAAGGGACCAGGAUGUGAGGAGCCGCAGCAGUGGUCUUUGACCACUAUUUCUGCUGAGCAAAAACCAGAAAGCUUAUUCCUUUGUUCUAGAAAUCAGAAAACAAGGAGAAGCACUGCUUUAAUUACAUUUAGAGGUUUUUCCUAGGUACAGAGACAUGGUCAUGGAUCUUUCUGUAUAUAUAUAUUUUAUUUAUAUAUACAUAUAUAUAUAUAUCUAUAUAUAUGUAUGUGUAUUAUAUUAUUGAAUACUAUAUAUUCAAAACAUUUUACAUCAUAGCCAUGGGAAAUGGCAUUCCCACAGCAGGGAAAUGCCAUGACAGAAAAUGCAAGGAGGAUCGUUCUGUAUGACUCACUCUAGCAGGGAGGCCUUGGGACCAAAGCACCACCACCAUUUUUUCCCCCAUUUUUCUCCUUCCACAGUAUUAGUCAGGAGGCGGGGCUGAGAUGGGGGGCACGGAAGUGACAGCUUUGACACACAGCUGAAACCAUCAGGGCCAGUGUGGCAUGUGGGACUGUUUUUCCACUGCAGCAGAACCAGGCAAGCCAGAGUGGUGACACUGAUCCCAAGUGAGUCCAGCCAAGCCAAGUGGAGCCCAGCAGGGUGGUAGGAAGAGGCAGCUAAGUGGCAGAUCCCAUUCCCACACACAUGCCCAGCGUGGCAGACUGAUGGCAGCGGCAGUGCCAAACAGAGCUCUGCAGGGACAGAGAGACACCCAUCACCAUCGCCACUGCCACCAUCCCUGCUGCAGAGAGGGAGCAGAAAACUGCCACUGCAGGUGCACAGCUCCUCCAGGCAGCACCAGCAGCCCCCAUCUACCAUCAGAACCAUUCUGAGAGAGAGGAGAGGCUUUACAAGGACUACCUCAAGAAGAGGACAUAGAAUGGAGGGAAGGCCUUAGAAAGAAUAAACAACCCUCAUGCUGCUGCUUUUGCAAGGAAUAAAUAUCCAAGUUUCUUAA